ACCAGGGGUUUCUGCUUAGCAAGAAUCUCACUGUUCCAGUUCUGAACCUAAGAAAAUAAGAGUCAUGAAAUUAACUCCGUUAAUUACCAUUACAUUACACUGAUGCAUGUG
Tinamus guttatus (white-throated tinamou) is the source of this 111-nucleotide non-coding RNA. The record is from RefSeq and is a predicted model, not a curated record. NCBI's taxonomy places the organism in Eukaryota, Metazoa, Chordata, Aves, Tinamiformes, Tinamidae.